CCAUGCGNCNCAUUGUAGCAAUACAAGGCAGACGGCUCAGUAACGCGUAGUCAACCUACCCUAUGGACGGGAAUAACCUCGGGAAACUGAGUAUAAUGCCCGAUAGAACACUAUACCUGGAAUGGUUUGUGUUCCAAAUGAUUUAUCGCCAUAGGAUGGGACUGCGGCCUAUCAGUUUGUUGGUGAGGUAAUGGCCCACCAAGACUAUUACAGGUACGGGCUCUGAGAGGAGUGGCCCGGAGAUGGGUACUGAGACACGGACCCAGGCCCUAUGGGGCGCAGCAGGCGAGAAAACUUUGCAAUGUGCGAAAGCACGACAAGGUUAAUCCGAGUGGUUUCUGCUAAAGGAACCUUUUGUUAGUCCUAGAAACACUGAUGAAUAAGGGGUGGGCAAGUUCUGGUGUCAGCCGCCGCGGUAAAACCAGCACCUCAAGUGGUCAGGAUGAUUAUUGGGCCUAAAGCAUCCGUAGCCGGCUCUGUUAGUUUUCGGUUAAUCUGUACGCUUACGUACAGGCUGCCGGGAAUACUGCAAANCUAGGGAGUGGGAGAGGUANACGGUACUCGGU
This 566-nucleotide ribosomal RNA is filed under the name uncultured Nitrososphaerota archaeon. RNAcentral describes it as "bacterial SSU rRNA". It matches the Rfam family "Archaeal small subunit ribosomal RNA", at positions 49 to 623 of the family's 1478-position model. The record is from RNAcentral. Lineage: Archaea; Thermoproteati; Nitrososphaerota.